GUGAGAGGGUGGGGAGGGGUAUUCCUCAGAAGGGUGGUGGGAAUGGGUGAUUGGCUGAUAGCUUUUAGCCAUCUCACCCCUUGCUUUUUCCUGUAAGACCAAUUGCAGUCGUUAACAGUCGUGGACAGGUUUAGCACACCUAUCAGCCAAUCACCCAUUCCCACCACCCUUCUGAGUAAUACCCCUCCUCACCCUCUCACU
This 201-nucleotide microRNA precursor is filed under the name Podarcis lilfordi (Lilford's wall lizard). Lineage: Eukaryota; Metazoa; Chordata; Lepidosauria; Squamata; Lacertidae. The record is from RNAcentral.